ACGAACACCGGGCCAACGGGCUCGGUACGCCGUGGGGAGGGAGCGGUAAGAGGAAGUACGGGGGGUAAAGCGCGCGUAGGCGGUGUGUGAAGUCAGCUGGAAAAGCCCCGGGCUCAGCCAGGGAAGUGCAGUGGAGACUGGCCGACUGGAGUGCGAGAGAGGGAGGUAGAAUUCCAUGUGUAGCGGUGAAAUGCGUAGAUAUAUGGAGGAAUACCGGUGGCGAAGGCGGCCUCCUGGCUCGACACUGACGCUGAGGUGCGAAAGCGUGGGGAUCAAACAGGAUUAGAUACCCCAGUAGUC
RNAcentral lists this ribosomal RNA (300 nucleotides) under uncultured Pyrococcus sp. RNAcentral's name for it is "partial 16S ribosomal RNA". The stretch from base 52 to 300 matches the Rfam family "Bacterial small subunit ribosomal RNA", at positions 547 to 795 of the family's 1533-position model. Lineage: Archaea; Methanobacteriati; Methanobacteriota; Thermococci; Thermococcales; Thermococcaceae. The record is from RNAcentral.